GUUUUAGCUGUGCUACACAUAUACUAAAAUUAGAACAACAGAGAAGAUUAGCAUGGCCCAUGCACAAGGAUGACUUGCAAUAGUAAUGUAACUAUGCAAAAGUCA
Small nuclear RNA from Sorex araneus (European shrew), 105 nucleotides. NCBI's taxonomy places the organism in Eukaryota, Metazoa, Chordata, Mammalia, Eulipotyphla, Soricidae. The record is from Ensembl.